AUGAUCACCACGGCUGCGCCAGAGGGCGUCGCGCAGCCACCUGCCGCGGCCAAGGGGCCCAAAGGAGAGGCGGAGAGGAAACAGAGCGACGCACAGGGAAGAGGAGGAAACAGCGGUGGUGGCGGCGGCGGCGGCGGCGGUGCAGAUGGCGGGGGUGGAGGUAGAGGGAAGAAGCGGAAGAACAAGGGAGGUGCCUUCAUCUACGGAAACUACAGGAACUACUACGGCUACCGAAUUGAUCGUAACGGCGGUGAAGAUCCCCGCCUUGAGAUAUUCAAGAAGGAGUGGUUUGCAGGCAAGGAUUGUCUCGAUAUUGGAUGCAACCAAGGUUUGGUCACAAUCGGUAUAGCGAUGAAGUUUGAAUGUCAAAGCAUCCUUGGAGUUGACAUUGAUAAAGGUUUGAUUGACCUUGCUAACUGGAAUUUAAGAAGGAUAUCUCGAACAGGCAACAUGGCUCCAGAAAGUGCCAAGGUUCAUAACUCGUCAGACUCCACAACUAAGAGCUGUCCUGAAGAAGUGGUAUCUGAAAUGCCAAAUGGAAAUAUUUCUAAGUACGAACAACCUGAUCUUUUUGAAAUCGUCUCUUUUCGGUCUGAAAAUUUUGUACAGAGCAAACACAAAUAUGCAGAACAGUAUGACACCAUCAUGUGUUUGAGCGUGACAAAAUGGAUCCACCUGAACUGGGGUGAUGAUGGCAUAAUCACUUUGUUUGUGAAGAUAUGGAGUCUUCUAAGACCGGGAGGGAUUUUUAUCAUGGAGCCUCAACCUUGGACCUCGUAUAGGAAAAACAGAUUAGUGUCAGAGUUUGCCAAAGAAAACUUCAAAUAUAUCUGUAUAUACCCUGAGAAAUUCCGGGAGGUACUUCUGGACAAGGUAGGAUUUAGGUCAGCAGAGGUGAUUGGCAACAGAUUGGUCGGAUCUGUCGCUGGUUUUGACCGCCCAAUUGAAGUUUACUACAAAUGA
This 963-nucleotide ribosomal RNA is filed under the name Triticum aestivum (bread wheat). RNAcentral's name for it is "partial small subunit ribosomal RNA". Lineage: Eukaryota; Viridiplantae; Streptophyta; Magnoliopsida; Poales; Poaceae. The record is from RNAcentral.